GUAACAGCUCUCAGAGAACCUCUGUGAGCACAAUGAAUGUGGGGGAGACUGUGAUGGAAUUUUCCUACCUUGCAAUAUACUUUUGUAGGGACAGCAUGUUCAUAGGCAUAAUCCAGAUAAAAAUCUCCUGCAGUCCAGAUAAAAAUCUCCAGGGCAGUUUUGCUGAAGAUAAGAGAAAUAUUCCUUAUAGGAAUGCAGCAUAUACCUGCCAACUUUCUGGCUGAGCAGAAGGUCAUAAAGCAAGUAUAAGUCAGAAAAGCAGAGGCAUAUAUAAACAUUAGAAUGAGAGGUACCAGAACAAUGUAGGAGGGCAUGGAGCUGCAUUCUGCCAGAGGGUAACAGUUGUGACUUAAUUUCACCAUGCCGAGAAGUUACUUAAGUGUCUUCUGGACUCUCCCUGCCACCCAGGACUCAGAGUGCCAAUACAUCUUUGCCCUGUGGUAGCAGCCCCUCAGAAUCAUUCCUCUGAUAUUUGGAAAACUUACCAUUUUCUUAGCACAGCCCUUUUCAGAGGGAAGAAGAGGCUCAGAGAA
Molecule: non-coding RNA, 533 nt
Organism: Zonotrichia albicollis (white-throated sparrow)
Lineage: Eukaryota; Metazoa; Chordata; Aves; Passeriformes; Passerellidae
Source: RefSeq, a predicted model, not a curated record